This 433-nucleotide ribosomal RNA is filed under the name uncultured bacterium. RNAcentral describes it as "bacterial SSU rRNA". It matches the Rfam family "Bacterial small subunit ribosomal RNA", at positions 340 to 786 of the family's 1533-position model. The record is from RNAcentral.
UACGGGAGGCAGCAGUGGGGAAUAUUGGACAAUGGGCGCAAGCCUGAUCCAGCCAUGCCGCGUGAGUGAUGAAGGCCCUAGGGUUGUAAAGCUCUUUUGUGCGGGAAGAUAAUGACGGUACCGCAAGAAUAAGCCCCGGCUAACUUCGUGCCAGCAGCCGCGGUAAUACGAAGGGGGCUAGCGUUGCUCGGAAUCACUGGGCGUAAAGGGUGCGUAGGCGGGUCUUUAAGUCAGGGGUGAAAAUCCUGGAGCUCAACUCCAGAACUGCCUUUUGAUACUGAAGAUCUUGAGUUCGGGAGAGGUGAGUGGAACUGCGAGUGUAGAGGUGAAAUUCGUAGAUAUUCGCAAGAACACCAGUGGCGAAGGCGGCUCACUGGCCCGAUACUGACGCUGAGGGCACGAAAGCGUGGGGAGCAAACAGGGAUUAGAUACC